UUUGUUUUUCCUUUUCUUCUCUCUUUCCCUUCAGUCUUCACUCCAGAAAAUUUCUCUCUCUCUCUCUCUCUCUCAAGCUCAAGCCAUAAGGGUUUCAGACUCAAUAAAGGACCAACAACUCUGCCACUGGAAUGGUUCCAGAUCUGGUUUACUCACAAAACUCAUGCCAUACGCUGCCGUUUAAAGCUGGGUGGUUAGGUUGUGAUCUAUGAGUAUGGUGGCUGGGUCGCGAUCUAGGAGGAUGGUGGACGGUGGUUUCUAGGUCAAGUUGAGUGGUAGGCGGCAGUUGCUGGGUUGAGAUGAGUGGUGGGUGGUGGUUGCAAGAUCACAAUCUGGAGCUCGCCAUUGUGGAUAUGAAUCAUGUGAUGUUGGAUGGUUGGGUUUGAGGAGGAUAAAUGGGUAGCAAUAAGUGGUGCUGUGGUGGACGGUGGUUGCUGGGUCACAUGAUGCUUGCCAUUGUGGGUCACGGUUUUGUUUUGAAAUUUUUUUGAUUUGGGUCUGUUUGAGGAUGUUGGAUGAUUGAUUGGUUGAGUUGAUCUAUGUUUGAUUGAGUUGAUCUAUGUUUGAUUCUCUUGUGUGAUGCCGGAUCUACUUGGGUUGAUCAUUGUAGUGAGAUUUUUUUUUUUUUUUUUAUUGCUCUGUAAAUUUAUUUUCCAAAUGAGACUAUGUAUGGUU
This is a long non-coding RNA of Quercus robur (English oak), 675 nucleotides long. RefSeq lists it as uncharacterized. Lineage: Eukaryota; Viridiplantae; Streptophyta; Magnoliopsida; Fagales; Fagaceae. The transcript is spliced from 2 exons. The record is from RefSeq and is a predicted model, not a curated record.